RNAcentral lists this non-coding RNA (21 nucleotides) under Caenorhabditis elegans. The record is from RNAcentral. Lineage: Eukaryota; Metazoa; Nematoda; Chromadorea; Rhabditida; Rhabditidae.
UAAAAAAUUGGGGUAAAUUUU